GACGAACGCUGGCGGCGUGCCUAAUACAUGCAAGUCGAACGCACUCACGUUGGAUUGAAGACGCUUGCUUUUGCUGCGGACGAUUUGGGAACGUGUCGAACGGGUACCUAACACGUGGGUAACCCGCCCUGAAGUGGGAGCUAACAUUGGGAAACAGAUUCUACUACCGCAUUAAACAUAGCACCACAUGGUUCAUGGUUGAUAGAUGGUUUCGCCUAUCACUUUAGGAUGGACCCGCGGUGCAUUAGUUAGUUGGUGAGGUAAAGGCUCACCAAGACCGGGAUGCGUAGCCGACCUGAGAGGGUAAUCGGCCACACUGGGACUGAGACACGGCCCAGACUCCUACGGGAGGCAGCAGUAGGGAAUCUUCCGCAAUGGGCGAAAGUCUGACGGAGCAACGCCGCGUGAGUGAAGAAGGUCUUCGGAUCGUAAAACUCUGUUAUUGGGGAAGAACAUAUGUGUAAGUAACUGUGCAGGUAUUGACGGUACCUAAUCAGAAAGCCACGGCUAACUACGUG
Molecule: ribosomal RNA, 518 nt
Filed under: uncultured bacterium
Lineage: Bacteria
Description: partial 16S ribosomal RNA
Rfam family: Bacterial small subunit ribosomal RNA
Source: RNAcentral